RNAcentral lists this long non-coding RNA (217 nucleotides) under Elaeis guineensis (African oil palm). RNAcentral's name for it is "long non-coding RNA (EGUI_LNC056230)". Lineage: Eukaryota; Viridiplantae; Streptophyta; Magnoliopsida; Arecales; Arecaceae. The record is from RNAcentral.
UGCGCUUCGAUCAAGCUAUCAACUAGGGGGCUGCUCACAAUUAUCUAUGUUUGUUCUUUUCAUGGCUUGGAAACAUCUUGAACAAGUAAGAACCCCAGCUUGAGAUUUACCUAGCUAGGUUUUGUUCGACUUUAGUUGAUAAAUUUAAUACUUAUAUACAUAGACAUAUACAUAUAACAAUAUACAUACACAUAUUCCCAUAUAACUUAUAAUUUAC